RNAcentral lists this small nuclear RNA (196 nucleotides) under Helianthus annuus (common sunflower). RNAcentral's name for it is "U2 spliceosomal RNA". It matches the Rfam family "U2 spliceosomal RNA". From Rfam's summary of the family: U2 is a small nuclear RNA (snRNA) component of the spliceosome (involved in pre-mRNA splicing). Complementary binding between U2 snRNA (in an area lying towards the 5' end but 3' to hairpin I) and the branchpoint sequence (BPS) of the intron results the bulging out of an unpaired adenosine, on the BPS, which initiates a nucleophilic attack at the intronic 5' splice site, thus starting the first of two transesterification reactions that mediate splicing. The record is from RNAcentral. Lineage: Eukaryota; Viridiplantae; Streptophyta; Magnoliopsida; Asterales; Asteraceae.
AUACCUUUCUCGGCCUUUUGGCUAAGAUCAAGUGUAGUAUCUGUUCUUAUCAGUUUAAUAUCUGAUAUGUGGGCCAUCGGCCCACUUGAUAUUAAUCUUAUUUUUUAUGGGGAAAGACCCAUCACAAUAGCUUGCUAUUGGGGUCUUUGAGCAUCGCCUUGGUUUUGCACUACUGCCUUGGCCUGGCGCACCCCUC